Molecule: long non-coding RNA, 387 nt
Organism: Populus euphratica (Euphrates poplar)
Lineage: Eukaryota; Viridiplantae; Streptophyta; Magnoliopsida; Malpighiales; Salicaceae
Exons: 2
Source: RefSeq, a predicted model, not a curated record
GCGACUUUCUUUUGUUCAUCACUACACUAAACAUAUCACACUCAUCAUCAAGACUUGGGAAAUCAUACAUUCCCGCCUUCAAUGCAUUCAAUAACCAAAUGAUCUUUAUCAUGAAAAUUAGUUCAAAGAGCAAAGAACAUGAAAAGCGAGAAAGUAACGAGGAAGGCGAAGAUCAGAAACGAUGUAGUUUGUGCAGCUUCUGUGCAUUUGUCAUAAAUGAGAAAGGAAGAUGUUGGGAGCUUGCUAAUAAGAUGACUGGAAGGAGCAGAACGUUGGAUCCAGAGAUUGGUUAUGCGAGCCUUCAACCUUCAUCCUUCAUUCUACAUUUUUUCACCUUAGAUUCAACCUUGGUAUUGGAAUGCCAUAAAGUUUUUUCACCUUAUGAAA